UGUUCCUCAAGUCUUUCUUCCCCCUGCCCAUGCUCCUGUUUCUUAUAUAUGACAUUAAGGAAGAAUCAUGGCAACACAUCUAAAACCUUCAAGUCUGGCCAUGGGAACACAGGAAGUAGAUAGUGUAGUACAGAUAUCAAAUGUGAAUAGAGAAAAGAAUUGUAUACUCCAUGUGGUCCUUUGCUUUAUUGAUGUUGGUAAUUUUUGAAUAACAUAAGGAUUUGGGAAUUUAUAAUUGAAGUAGGUACACCAUAUUUACACUGUUAUUCUCAGUCUAUAGAUGGGCCCACUUUGUUUCCAAAAUCAUAGCAGAGAAUGGAAUUUGAAAACAGAAUUUUUGAGUACAUAUUCAGGAAUAUUUAUAAUGUCCCCUAUGAAGGAAUGUACAAUAGGAAAGUGAAAUACAAUAUUCAUUCAACGAAAGGUGUGUAGGUAAAGUACUGGCCUUUAUAAAAUUAAGAAAACCUAGAAAAUUGAACUGUAUGUCACAGGAAUUGACCUGGGAAUAAAAAUAUUAUCCAGAAGAAUCUCCUCCACUCCAAGUUCCUAAAUAAUUUCUAUCCAUGCCAUGCCCCUGACUCAUUUUCUCCAUUCAGAAGUCACUAGCUUUAGAGAGAUGGAGAACGAAAGUUUCCACUGUGUCACAGGAGACAUACCUAAAUUGGCACCCUCAAAACUGGUUAAUGUAAGGAAAGCUGUUUAGAGUCAGGCCAUGGCAGUUCUCAGUGACAAUAUCAUUAGGCUCUCCCUGAAAAAUCUCUUGUAUCCUUGAGAGCACUAGCUUCUUCUGUGAUGUAAUAAGUGUUGUCCUGACUGCAAAUGCCUCUCAGAUAUUACUUCAGUACCUAUAGGUUUUACUAAUUGGCCUCAAAUUCAGGGGAAACAGUCAUUAGGGAGGGAGAACAAAGACGAUGAAGAAAUCAGAGAUGGGGAGAACGAAGCUGGUCUUCUGUCUUGGUAUAAAAGAAGGAAGAAAUACAUCAUCCCUGAGAAAUCUCACUGAAGCCUUGGUAGGAGUGGAAUAUGAAAAAUAGUCCUGAGGAAGGAGGGACAACAAGUAUUGUAUCGUCAUGGCAUCUCAAGAAAAACUCUCAAAACUCAUCCUGGCUGACAAUGUAGAUUAGACGCAUCAGAUGAAAUGAAUUGAAAAACUCUCCUGGGAAUGAAAGUGGUAAGGAAAUCACAUUGAUGUAUCCUAAAUGCAGUGCUAAGAGCAAUAUUCAGACUAGUCUGUGGAGAUGCUGCUGUCAUCAGAGACCACAGACAAUUAGUGGAGAAUGAUUCAGCAUUAAACUGGGAAUGGAAGAUGAUGGUUGAUAUUGUUCUAGUAGAUCUCACUACAUUAAAAAGUGUUUCUUCCAGAUAACUGAAUGAUUAUUGUAAAGCAAAUCCCGGAAUGAACUUAUGAGACCCACCAUCAGCCUGUCAAAUAAUGUGCGAAAGAAGAAAUCUGUGUCUCUCCAGGGACAAAUUGUUGCUUUCAAACCAACAGUAAAGUGUCCAUUCUAUGAAUGAUACAUUGAUAUAUACACAUUAUAGAAGGAUGGAUACAGAGUUUCUUCAGGUCCAUGAAUGAGGUAUUCAGCAGUUGACCUGGAUCAGAAAUGAAGGUAAUUUUUGCCAACUCUUCAGACUUGAGCUCAUUCACUAGGAUCCCCAUGAUUGAAGAAAAGAACAAACUUCAGACAACUUGUCUCAGAUUUUUAUAUAGUUAAGAUUUCCUGGUCUUGGUCCUAGGAAGGAAGGAUAUCUUGCUUUCCAAUUCUUGUUUAUCCUAUAAUCCUCUCUGCUGCAUUCAUGCAAAUAGAUUACUGUGCAUUUCUUUAAUAGGUUACAAUUGCUAUUUUAAUUAUGUUGCCAAGAACUAUAGAAAAAAAGAAGGACUGUAUCAAAGCAUCAUAUGAAAAUCCGACUAAGGUAAUGUGGCCAUUGGAAAUUUGUAACUGACCUGAAACUCUUACUAGAGACAAAAUGCCAUAAACGGUCUUCUCUAGAUAUCUGGUGUAGUAGUUGGUGUUCCCCAACAGACAGUAAAGGAUGAAUCUCUCUGUACAGAGAAAUCGGAGUAGUCACAAUGAUCACAGACUAUGGAACACAUAAUUUAACAAUGACUGACUAUUUUUAAAGUCCUAGAAUCCAUUAGUUUAUUAGUCCAAAAGGCAAGAUGUCUUAUCUGGUCAUUGACAUAUGGAUAAAUAUUCAGUGUGCAGGUUCUAAUGUCUAUGAGGAUUUGGUAUCACUGUGAGUGCAAAAAUGAAAAAGUAAAGGCUUCUUUCUUCCAUGUUUUCUACGGGGAUUCAAAUAGAAUGCAUGGUUUAGAAUACAUUGGGUUUGCCAUUCUCAAACAGACCAAUAUCUUCAACUGAACAUUCUUUUCUUGGAAGCUGCACCCUGUCAGCAUGGCUCACGUGUAUGUGAACUGCAAGAUCUAGUCUGGAAGGCGGUCCUGUUCAUCGAUCCAACCUGCCCCUAAUACUGAAAUACCCAAGACUUCCUCAAUCAACUCCUUUGCAAACAUGGUCUUCUGGGAUUUGAAGGCAUUACAUCUACUAACAACACCAAUGCAAUUCAAGAUUACUUUCAACAGCUCCCUGGAGUGAGAAUUGUUCCUUGGGUCCUUAUAUGUAGAGAAAGACUGCAUAGGCAGACACAGUGAUCUAAUCUACCUGCAACAGAAUGAAGAGAUGAUGAUGUGGCUGAAGCAGAUUGGAGCUCUGCAUUUAUUAAAGGGAUGGCAGUAAAAGCCCAUGCUGACAGCAGACAUUCAGACAUGCUGAAGCCAUGCUGAGACUUGAUGUUUGUCACUGAUGAUGUCAGUAUUUUCUUAUGACUGGGAUUUUCAACAAAUUGGCUUUCAUUCUAUUCCUCAUUCCAAAAAAUCUUUUGCUGUAGGCCUCAAACCAUGGGGCAGGGAAACUUAAGAGACAACAGAGGAUUGAUAAUCCAGUCUUCAUUCACUGACUUGUCUCUACCUCUAAGUCCAUGUUUCACAAUCCAGUGCAUUUAAAUCUCCAGGGAAUCAGUUACUGUUUCUCUACCAUGCUGGUCUGCUGAAGUCAUUUUACAGAAGUCCACUUCCUAGUAAUUAUUAAAGCAAUGAAUAUUUUGAAGUUGUUUAUGAUCUACACACAGGCUUUUUACGCCCCAAGCAUGUACCAUCCCACUUCUGCAUUUGUAGCUCUCAGCCAGUGUUCUCGACCUAUCCAUCCAGCAACCCUUAGAUUCCACACUUUGUAUGAGGAUAAUAUUUGAAAAAACAGAAGAAUAGCUGUAGCAUAGUUGUUCUUCACUGAAGCCAUAUUAACACAGACGGCAGAGCAUAUGAUGCAUUCAUCUCUGUUUGUAGUGUUUAAUUCCCCGUAAAGUCCCAAACAAUUGAGAGUUGAUUCUGUCAGAGUAUCAGCAAAGUCAAAUAGGAAAUGCAAAAUUUCAGAAUUCUCCUGCCAAAGAUGUUUGUGAAAGAAGUUGUUUGCAAAACACUGUCUUAAUAAAUUUAUUCCAUUCUCACUUUGAUAUUUUGCUUUGAUGUCUUGAAGUGACGUUUAAUUAUCACUGAAAUGCAGGUCCCCUCUAUAGUCUCCAGUAAGAAGAAUUCAUUCCUCAAAAGGAUGUAUCUGCAGAUGCCUGAAAAAAUAAUAGAAAGAAUAUUUCUUGAUAAAGAUCUAGGUUAAAGUUGAAACAUCCUACCACAAAGAUACAUAUAAGAAGUUCAUUUGACAUUGACCUUAUAUUAUGCAGAAAUUCUUCACAUAUUCCCUCUAUCGUUGGGGUUUAAUUAAUCUCCAAUGAAUAGUUGACAAUGAAGAGUAGCCUUUAGAAUCAUUUUACCCUUUUAAGUAAUAGUUUUAAGCAAAUGGAACACUAAAAGAUCACAAAGAAGAAAUGGUUAUAAUCAAAAGAUACAUGUGGGACAGUCUAACUCUCAUGGUCAAGAUGACUUUGCACAUGCUCCUUAUGGUCAUGGAUUGCUCUCAUAAUACUCUGCAGAAGGUUGUUCCUACUGCCUCACUUUAAGCUCCAGGAAUUCCAAGCUACCAGAGCUGUUCAAGUUCCCUUACAAUGCACUUGAAAGCCACAUAUGCUUAGGAACUUUUGAUGUGCUUUAGCUCUAUUGUCAGGUUUUUUUAAGCCUCUACCAAAUAGCAAGCUGUCCUUUUUACCCCCUUCUCAACACCUCUAAAUCUGCCCUACUCAAUUUCUCAAUUGACAUUAGUCAUAGCUCAGCACCCCAAAUAUGCAGUCAUCUUACUGUGUUUUUAACAUCCUGCCUGCUACACCAAUGGCCACUCCAUACUAGAUCUCACAUGACUGGUAACUCUUGCUCCACCCUAAAUCCUUUCUCCAUCCUUGUGUCUACUAGCCUGUUGGUAGAAAUCCACACAACUGAUUGGCCAAGAGCAUCUUUAUUGAACUAUACAGAAUCAAUUUGGGAACAGGACCUUCAGUGUUCGCAGUAUGAUUCCCGAUCUACGAAUCAAAACAAUAGCAAACAAGACUCAAUCCAUGUCUCUGGUUUUGGGAGGGAGAUAGAGCACUUUGAUUCAGAGUUGAAAUUUAAAUAAUUAUAAUAUAUAUGUAGUAUUAAUUAUGCCAGGAUAAAAGGAUCCAAAAAGUGGAAAUGGGCAACAUUAAAGGCAAGAGAAAAAUCCCUAGUACAGCAAAAAAUGUGGACCUGUUAGAAAGACUGGUCUCUUUCCAGCCAUCUGAAUUUGUACUUGAAAUUCUUCUAACCACUCUUGAUCUCUGCAUGUAGAAAAGAACAAAAAGAAAAAGAAAACAAAAUAAAACAAAAAAUCAUUAAAAUGAAACCAAAAGCAAAAGAAAUAGCUAAUCAACCCAAUCCUAAAAGAAGAGGACCGAGUGAAGAUUGCUUGAGGUCCUCAUUUUUAACUACAACUACAAGUCACCAAUAGAUUUCAAUGCAAAAGUUUGUCAUUAUUUUAUUUGAAACUUCUCUGUGGGUCAAAGAAACAAGGUUUAUAAGCUGCAACAACAGGAAAGAGAAAAAAAAUCAUACUGUAGAGCUCAACACUGAUAUUACUAUGGUGACUGUGGGCAAUGCAGAGAAUAUUGGUGUUUGACAACGGGUUUUGUGGUUUUCUAUAUGCUGGCAAUAUCUAUGACUCUGAAAUGAAUUAGAGUCAUCACCAAAUCAUCACUAAAUGAACUGCUCCUUUCUUUGGAGCACAAGAUCUGGCAAACUGUUGACUGACUAUGAUUUUUAACUUGGAUCUAGCCUCUGUGGUAAAGCUAAGGCUUCUGAUGGAAAAUCCUCCACCAAAAUACUGGACUAUCAAUUGUGCUGCCAGCCAAAAACCAAGUCCUGACUCUACCCUGCAAUCCAGAAGAGGUUUCAAAGUGUCAAACAUAACAAUAUUUUAAUUGUGGCUUUGUCUUUUUUUCACUUUUUAUUUUAAAUAAAGUGUGAUUUCUGGCAUAAUUCCUUCUAAGUUCUUCCUCACAUAGAACUUCACUUUUGACCUCAAAUUCCAUUCAUGAAGGGGUACUCUUAUCUUUCGUUGGCUAAGUUUUCUAUUUUGCUUUUAUGGCUUGCUGUGAUUGCUUAUUGUGACUGUCUAAAUGAUGCAUUAUUGAGCAACUGACUCCAUAAGAAUGGCUUGCGGGCAUCAGUAUUUUGCAUUUUCUUGAUGGUUAGUUUAUGUAAGGUGACUUAGCCCACUGUGGAUGGUAACAGCACUAGUAAGCUGAGGAGGUUACAGAGAAAAGGUAGCUGAGCAGAUUAGUAAGCAGAGUUCCUCUUUAUUUU
Non-coding RNA from Rattus norvegicus (Norway rat), 5767 nucleotides. The record is from RefSeq and is a predicted model, not a curated record. Lineage: Eukaryota; Metazoa; Chordata; Mammalia; Rodentia; Muridae.